GAUGAACGCUGGCGGCGCGCCUAAUACAUGCAAGUCGAGCGCGGAGAUGAGGAGCUUGCUCCUCUGAUCCGAGCGGCGGACGGGUGAGUAACACGUAGGCAACCUACCCAUCAGACCGGGAUAACCGCGGGAAACCGUGGCUAAUACCGGAUGACCCUUCGAAACACAAGUUUUGAAGUUGAAAGGCGCUUUUGGUGCCGUUGAUGGAUGGGCCUGCGGCGCAUUAGCUAGUUGGUGAGAUAACGGCUCACCAAGGCGACGAUGCGUAGCCGACCUGAGAGGGUGAUCGGCCACACUGGGACUGAGACACGGCCCAGACUCCUACGGGAGGCAGCAGUAGGGAAUCUUCCGCAAUGGACGAAAGUCUGACGGAGCAACGCCGCGUGAGUGAAGAAGGGUUUCGACUCGUAAAACU
Molecule: ribosomal RNA, 415 nt
Filed under: uncultured bacterium
Lineage: Bacteria
Description: bacterial SSU rRNA
Rfam family: Bacterial small subunit ribosomal RNA
Source: RNAcentral